AUGAACGCUGGCGGCGUGCCUAAUACAUGCAAGUCGAGCGAACGGACGAGGAGCUUGCUCCUCUGACGUUAGCGGCGGACGGGUGAGUAACACGUGGAUAACCUACCUAUAAGACUGGGAUAACUUCGGGAAACCGGAGAUAAUACCGGAUAAUAUAUUGAACCGCAUGGUUCAAUAGUGAAAGACGGUUUUGCUGUCACUUAUAGAUGGAUCCGCGCCGCAUUAGCUAGUUGGUAAGGUAACGGCUUACCAAGGCAACGAUGCGUAGCCGACCUGAGAGGGUGAUCGGCCACACUGGAACUGAGACACGGUCCAGACUCCUACGGGAGGCAGCAGUAGGGAAUCUUCCGCAAUGGGCGAAAGCCUGACGGAGCAACGCCGCGUGAGUGAUGAAGGUCUUCGGAUCGUAAAACUCUGUUAUUAGGGAAGAACAAAUGUGUAAGUAACUAUGCACGUCUUGACGGUACCUAAUCAGAAAGCCACGGCUAACUACGUG
Molecule: ribosomal RNA, 496 nt
Filed under: uncultured bacterium
Lineage: Bacteria
Description: partial 16S ribosomal RNA
Rfam family: Bacterial small subunit ribosomal RNA
Source: RNAcentral